GUGAGUAGGAUGAGUUUGAUAAGAAAAUAGCUCAGUUCAAUGAUAAAGUCAUAAAUAUAUUAUAUUAUUUAUUAGAUGCCAAUAAUUUUAACCUUAUUUUAACUUGUAACUCAGUAAAAAAAAUUGGGAUAGACUUAAGAUAACUCAUGAAGGCACAAAUCAAGUUAAAGAAUCAAAAAUUAAUAUACUUAUAUAUAGAUAUAAACUUUUUAAAAUGGAGCC
Molecule: long non-coding RNA, 222 nt
Filed under: Elaeis guineensis (African oil palm)
Lineage: Eukaryota; Viridiplantae; Streptophyta; Magnoliopsida; Arecales; Arecaceae
Description: long non-coding RNA (EGUI_LNC041876)
Source: RNAcentral